This 568-nucleotide ribosomal RNA is filed under the name uncultured bacterium. RNAcentral describes it as "bacterial SSU rRNA". It matches the Rfam family "Bacterial small subunit ribosomal RNA", at positions 119 to 681 of the family's 1533-position model. The record is from RNAcentral.
AUGCAAUCCACCUGUAACAGGGGGAUAACCCGGAGAAAUCCGGACUAAUACCCCAUAAUAUGGGCUCUCCGCAUGGAGGGUUCAUUAAAGAGAGCAAUUUUGGUUACAGACGAGCAUGCGCUCCAUUAGCCAGUUGGCGGGGUAACGGCCCGCCAAAGCGACGAUGGAUAGGGGUUCUGAGAGGAAGGUCCCCCACAUUGGAACUGAGACACGGUCCAAACUCCUACGGGAGGCAGCAGUGAGGAAUAUUGGUCAAUGGUCGGCAGACUGAACCAGCCAAGUCGCGUGAGGGAAGACGGCCCUACGGGUUGUAAACCUCUUUUGUCGGAGAGUAAAGUACGCUACGUGUAGUGUAUUGCAAGUAUCCGAAGAAAAAGCAUCGGCUAACUCCGUGCCAGCAGCCGCGGUAAUACGGAGGAUGCGAGCGUUAUCCGGAUUUAUUGGGUUUAAAGGGUGCGUAGGCGGCACGCCAAGUCAGCGGUGAAAUUUCCGGGCUCAACCCGGAGUGUGCCGUUGAAACUGGCGAGCUAGAGUACACAAGAGGCAGGCGGAAUGCGUGGUGUAGCGG